GAAGGAGAAGUCGUAACAAGGUUUCCGUAGGUGACCUGCGGAAGGAUCAUUGAUGAACCUAUUAAUAAGAAAAGCAUGACCUGUGCAUUUGUUCUCUUGAGAAGUUUCAGUCCAGGGGGAUUAUGGGAUGUACGGUUAGGGCUUCCCAUUAAUUGACUGUCUUAGUUGCAGGUAGUUUUGGGAUCCUUUGACCUGUCCAUUCUCUGGUCUCUCCUUGCUGUUACUCUGCUAACGGGGGUUGAGCCUGCAGUAUUGUAUUGUCGGCGAUCCCCUCGCGUAGCAAAACACAACAACCAACCCCGGCGUUAAAUGCGCCAAGGAACAGAUAAAUGGACAAGUGCAUCUUAAGCCUCCCGGAUACGGGCAAUGGCUUAGGAGCAUUGGUACGUCAUGUGUAUCCACAAUGACUCUCGGCAACGGAUAUCUUGGCUCUCGCAUCGAUGAAGAACGUAGCGAAAUGCGAUACUUGGUGUGAAUUGCAGAAUCCCGUGAACCAUCGAGUUUUUGAACGCAAGUUGCGCCUGAAGCCAUUAGGCUGAGGGCACGUCUGCCUGGGUGUCACACAAAUUUGCCCCAAUCCAUCUCUCUCCCCCUCAGCGAUGUGAGGGAGAGUUCGUUGCUUGGGGACGGGUGUUGGCCUCCCACGGACAAGUGACGUGGUUGGCUUAAAUAUGAGCCCGUGGGUGUUGACAAACACGUUUAUUGGUGGAAGAGCAAAAAUGGCUUGAUCAACCCGAACGUGCGAGUCCCUCCCACAUACACGGGCUAAAGACCCCUGAGUUAGAGCCUCACAAUGCGACCCCAGGUCAGACGGGGCUACCCGCUGAGUUUAAGCAUAUCA
This 841-nucleotide ribosomal RNA is filed under the name Senna italica subsp. italica. Its description in RNAcentral is "eukaryotic LSU rRNA". The stretch from base 406 to 561 matches the Rfam family "5.8S ribosomal RNA". Lineage: Eukaryota; Viridiplantae; Streptophyta; Magnoliopsida; Fabales; Fabaceae. The record is from RNAcentral.